This 345-nucleotide unclassified non-coding RNA is filed under the name soil metagenome. RNAcentral describes it as "partial contains 5.8S ribosomal RNA, internal transcribed spacer 2, and large subunit ribosomal RNA". The stretch from base 1 to 119 matches the Rfam family "5.8S ribosomal RNA", at positions 35 to 154 of the family's 154-position model. The record is from RNAcentral.
GAUGAAGAACGUAGCGAAAUGCGAUACGUAAUGUGAAUUGCAAAUUCAGUGAAUCAUCGAGUCUUUGAACGCACAUUGCGCCCCCUGGUAUUCCGGGGGGCAUGCCUGUCCGAGCGUCAUUGCUGCCCUCAAGCACGGCUUGUGUGUUGGGCCCCGUCCUCCGAUCCCGGGGGACGGGCCCGAAAGGCAGCGGCGGCACCGCGUCCGGUCCUCGAGCGUAUGGGGCUUUGUCACCCGCUCUGUAGGCCCGGCCGGCGCUUGCCGAUCAACCCAAAUUUUUAUCCAGGUUGACCCCGGAUCAGGUAGGGAUACCCGCUGAACUUAAGCAUAUCAAUAAGCGGAGGA